AUGGGGCCGUGGGCCGCUGGGCUGCGCGCCUGGGGGCUGCUGGUGGAGGCCGGCGCUCGCCUAGGUCGAGUGCGGAGUGCCGCUCCAGUUCAUACUUCGGCGCUGCGGCAUGCGGUAGGGAUGCAGAAGGAACACCUCGCCUUUGGUGGGCAAGCACACCACGAGGUCCUUGUUGGGAUGAGAGGGAUGACUAGAAUGCUCAGAGAAACAUCUUUACUUGACCCAGAUCUUUCAUUGCUUGUCUUCAGUCACCUAAAUAAGUUCAAGAAAAAUCUUUCUAAAAUUCCUAGAGCGUCAGUGCAACUACAUAUCAGGGUAUACUAUGUUGAUUCUAUAAUUUUCCAUAUGCUUAAUAAAAAUAUGUUUUAUGCAUUGCUUCUUGGCCCAGCUGAGAGAACCCUCAUGUUAAAAAGUAGGAAGCAGUUUUGA
Molecule: ribosomal RNA, 429 nt
Filed under: Triticum aestivum (bread wheat)
Lineage: Eukaryota; Viridiplantae; Streptophyta; Magnoliopsida; Poales; Poaceae
Description: partial small subunit ribosomal RNA
Source: RNAcentral